GAGGGAAAAGGAUUUAUUCGCUUCAGGAUGGACUCGCGUCCAAUUAGCUAGUUGGUGAGGUAACGGCCCACCAAGGCGACGAUUGGUAGCCGGACUGAGAGGUUGAACGGCCACAUUGGGACUGAGACACGGCCCAGACUCCUACGGGAGGCAGCAGUGGGGGAUAUUGCACAAUGGGGGAAACCCUGAUGCAGCGACGCCGCGUGGAGGAAGAAGGUUUUCGGAUUGUAAACUCCUGUCGUUAGGGACGAUAAUGACGGUACCUAACAAGAAAGCACCGGCUAACUACGUGCCAGCAGCCGCGGUAAAACGUAGGGUGCAAGCGUUGUCCGGAAUUACUGGGUGUAAAGGGAGCGCAGGCGGACCGGCAAGUUGGAAGUGAAAACUAUGGGCUCAACCCAUAAAUUGCUUUCAAAACUGCUGGCCUUGAGUAGUGCAGAGGUAGGUGGAAUUCCCGGUGUAGCGGUGGAAUGCGUAGAUAUCGGGAGGAACACCAGUGGCGAAGGCGACCUACUGGGCACCAACUGACGCUGAGGCUCGAAAGCAUGGGUAGCAAACAGGAUUAGAUACCCUGGUAGUCCAUGCCGUAAACGAUGAUUACUAGGUGUUGGAGGAUUGACCCCUUCAGUGCCGCAGUU
Molecule: ribosomal RNA, 638 nt
Filed under: uncultured bacterium
Lineage: Bacteria
Description: bacterial SSU rRNA
Rfam family: Bacterial small subunit ribosomal RNA
Source: RNAcentral